UUAGGCUGGAUCCAUGUAUGCAAAUGUGACUC
Molecule: non-coding RNA, 32 nt
Filed under: Rattus norvegicus (Norway rat)
Lineage: Eukaryota; Metazoa; Chordata; Mammalia; Rodentia; Muridae
Source: RNAcentral